This 1549-nucleotide ribosomal RNA is filed under the name Enterobacter ludwigii. Its description in RNAcentral is "bacterial SSU rRNA". It matches the Rfam family "Bacterial small subunit ribosomal RNA". Lineage: Bacteria; Pseudomonadati; Pseudomonadota; Gammaproteobacteria; Enterobacterales; Enterobacteriaceae. The record is from RNAcentral.
AAAUUGAAGAGUUUGAUCAUGGCUCAGAUUGAACGCUGGCGGCAGGCCUAACACAUGCAAGUCGAACGGUAGCACAGAGAGCUUGCUCUCGGGUGACGAGUGGCGGACGGGUGAGUAAUGUCUGGGAAACUGCCUGAUGGAGGGGGAUAACUACUGGAAACGGUAGCUAAUACCGCAUAACGUCGCAAGACCAAAGAGGGGGACCUUCGGGCCUCUUGCCAUCAGAUGUGCCCAGAUGGGAUUAGCUAGUAGGUGGGGUAACGGCUCACCUAGGCGACGAUCCCUAGCUGGUCUGAGAGGAUGACCAGCCACACUGGAACUGAGACACGGUCCAGACUCCUACGGGAGGCAGCAGUGGGGAAUAUUGCACAAUGGGCGCAAGCCUGAUGCAGCCAUGCCGCGUGUAUGAAGAAGGCCUUCGGGUUGUAAAGUACUUUCAGCGGGGAGGAAGGUGUUGCGGUUAAUAACCGCAGCAAUUGACGUUACCCGCAGAAGAAGCACCGGCUAACUCCGUGCCAGCAGCCGCGGUAAUACGGAGGGUGCAAGCGUUAAUCGGAAUUACUGGGCGUAAAGCGCACGCAGGCGGUCUGUCAAGUCGGAUGUGAAAUCCCCGGGCUCAACCUGGGAACUGCAUUCGAAACUGGCAGGCUAGAGUCUUGUAGAGGGGGUAGAAUUCCAGGUGUAGCGGUGAAAUGCGUAGAGAUCUGGAGGAAUACCGGUGGCGAAGGCGGCCCCCUGGACAAAGACUGACGCUCAGGUGCGAAAGCGUGGGGAGCAAACAGGAUUAGAUACCCUGGUAGUCCACGCCGUAAACGAUGUCGACUUGGAGGUUGUGCCCUUGAGGCGUGGCUUCCGGAGCUAACGCGUUAAGUCGACCGCCUGGGGAGUACGGCCGCAAGGUUAAAACUCAAAUGAAUUGACGGGGGCCCGCACAAGCGGUGGAGCAUGUGGUUUAAUUCGAUGCAACGCGAAGAACCUUACCUACUCUUGACAUCCAGAGAACUUUCCAGAGAUGGAUUGGUGCCUUCGGGAACUCUGAGACAGGUGCUGCAUGGCUGUCGUCAGCUCGUGUUGUGAAAUGUUGGGUUAAGUCCCGCAACGAGCGCAACCCUUAUCCUUUGUUGCCAGCGGUCCGGCCGGGAACUCAAAGGAGACUGCCAGUGAUAAACUGGAGGAAGGUGGGGAUGACGUCAAGUCAUCAUGGCCCUUACGAGUAGGGCUACACACGUGCUACAAUGGCGCAUACAAAGAGAAGCGAACUCGCGAGAGCAAGCGGACCUCAUAAAGUGCGUCGUAGUCCGGAUUGGAGUCUGCAACUCGACUCCAUGAAGUCGGAAUCGCUAGUAAUCGUAGAUCAGAAUGCUACGGUGAAUACGUUCCCGGGCCUUGUACACACCGCCCGUCACACCAUGGGAGUGGGUUGCAAAAGAAGUAGGUAGCUUAACCUUCGGGAGGGCGCUUACCACUUUGUGAUUCAUGACUGGGGUGAAGUCGUAACAAGGUAACCGUAGGGGAACCUGCGGUUGGAUCACCUCCUUACCUUAAAGAA